This 292-nucleotide ribosomal RNA is filed under the name uncultured bacterium. RNAcentral describes it as "partial 16S ribosomal RNA". It matches the Rfam family "Bacterial small subunit ribosomal RNA", at positions 505 to 796 of the family's 1533-position model. The record is from RNAcentral.
GUGUCAGCAGCCGCGGUAAUACAGAGGUCCCGAGCGUUGUUCGGAUUCAUUGGGCGUAAAGGGUGCGUAGGUGGCGCCGUAAGUGGGGUGUGAAAUCCCGGGGCUUAACCCCGGGACUGCAUUCCAUACUGCGGUGCUUGAGGACUGGAGAGGAGACUGGAAUUUACGGUGUAGCAGUGAAAUGCGUAGAGAUCGUAAGGAAGACCAGUGGCGAAGGCGGGUCUCUGGACAGUUCCUGACACUGAGGCACGAAGGCCAGGGGAGCAAACGGGAUUAGAUACCCCCGUAGUCC